GGGUUGUGAGGUUAAGCGACUAAGCGUACACGGUGGAUGCCCUGGCAGUCAGAGGCGAUGAAGGACGUGCUAAUCUGCGAUAAGCGCCGGUAAGGUGAUAUGAACCGUUAUAACCGGCGAUUUCCGAAUGGGGAAACCCAGUGUGAUUCGUCACACUAUCAUUAACUGAAUCCAUAGGUUAAUGAGGCGAACCGGGGGAACUGAAACAUCUAAGUACCCCGAGGAAAAGAAAUCAACCGAGAUUCCCCCAGUAGCGGCGAGCGAACGGGGAGGAGCCCAGAGCCUGAAUCAGCAUGUGUGUUAGUGGAAGCGUCUGGAAAGGCGCGCGAUACAGGGUGACAGCCCCGUACACAAAAGCGCAUGUGCUGUGAGCUCGAUGAGUAGGGCGGGACACGUGGUAUCCUGUCUGAAUAUGGGGGGACCAUCCUCCAAGGCUAAAUACUCCUGACUGACCGAUAGUGAACCAGUACCGUGAGGGAAAGGCGAAAAGAACCCCGGCGAGGGGAGUGAAAAAGAACCUGAAACCGUGUACGUACAAGCAGUGGGAGCACAGGUUUACCUGUGUGACUGCGUACCUUUUGUAUAAUGGGUCAGCGACUUAUAUUCUGUAGCAAG
This 615-nucleotide ribosomal RNA is filed under the name Salmonella enterica. RNAcentral describes it as "partial 23S ribosomal RNA". It matches the Rfam family "Bacterial large subunit ribosomal RNA", at positions 1 to 644 of the family's 2925-position model. Lineage: Bacteria; Pseudomonadati; Pseudomonadota; Gammaproteobacteria; Enterobacterales; Enterobacteriaceae. RNAcentral also lists the same sequence under 2 other names. The record is from RNAcentral.